AGUCAUUGGGUAUUAUAAAACCUAAAGGCAUAAUUAACUUAACUUUUAUUUAUAUGGGAUCAUAUAUAUAUUAUAUAUAAUAUAUAAUCCAUCCCGGGACGUUCUAUAUAGUUAUGCAUUUUAAUAUAUUUUAUAUAUUAUAUAUGCCUCUAACUAGAGCGUACCUUGAGCAUAUAUGUUGUGACCCGAAAGAUGGUGAACUAUACCUGAUCAGGUUGAAGUCAGGGGAAACCCUGAUGGAAGACCGAAACAGUUCUGACGUGCAAAUCGAUUGUCAGAAUUGGGUAUAGGGGCGAAAGACCAAUCGAACCAUCUAGUAGCUGGUUCCCUCCGAAGUUUCCCUCAGGAUAGCUGGUGCAUUUAAAGAUUAUAUAAAAUAAUCUUAUCUGGUAAAGCGAAUGAUUAGAGGCAUUAGGGCCGAAACGACCUUAACCUAUUCUCAAACUUUAAAUGGGUAAGAACCUCACCUUUCUUGAUAUGAAGGUUGAGGUUAUGAUAUAUUGUGCCCAGUGGGCCACUUUUGGUAAGCAGAACUGGCGCUGUGGGAUGAACCAAACGUGAUGUUACGGCGCCCAAAUUAACAACUCAUACUGAUACCAUGAAAGGCGUUGCUUGCUUAAAACAGCAGGACGGUGGACAUGGAAGUCGUAAUCCGCUAAGGAGUGUGUAACAACUCACCUGCCGAAGCAACUAGCCCUUAAAAUGGAUGGCGCUCAAGUUGUAUGCCUAUACAUCACUGCUAAAAUAAAUGAUUUAAUAAUGGCUUAAGUUUUUUAAUAAAUUUUGAAAUUUUAGUGAGUAGGAGGGUACAAUAGUGUGCGUAGAAGUAUUUGGCGUAAGCCUGUAUGGAGCCGCUAUUGGUACAGAUCUUGGUGGUAGUAGCAAAUAAUCGAAUGAGACCUUGGAGGACUGAAGUGGAGAAGGGUUUCGUGUGAACAGUGGUUGAUCACGAGUUAGUCGGUCCUAAGUUCAAGGCGAAAGCCGAAAAUUUUAAGUUAUAAUAAAUAUAUAAAAAUAAUAAUAUAUAUAUAAUAUACUUAUAAUUUUUAUGAACGAAAGGGAAUACGGUUCCAAUUCCGUAACCUGUUGAGUAUACGUUUGUUAUUAAAAAUGGGCUUUUAUGCUCAUCCUGGCAACAGAAACAACCAUAAAGAAGCCGUCGAGAAAUAUCGAAAGAGUUUUCUUUUCUGUUUCAUAGUCGUACUACCAUGGAAGUCUUUCGAAGAGAGAUAUGGUAGAUGGGCUAGAAGAGCAUGGCAUUUACUGCUGUGUCGAUAUUUUCUCCUCGGACCUUGAAAAUUUAUGGUGGGGUCACGCAAACUUCUUAACAGGCCGUACCGAUAUCCGCAGCUGGUCUCCA
RNAcentral lists this ribosomal RNA (1360 nucleotides) under Andrenosoma fulvicaudum. Its description in RNAcentral is "partial 28S ribosomal RNA". It matches the Rfam family "Eukaryotic large subunit ribosomal RNA", at positions 689 to 1869 of the family's 3401-position model. Lineage: Eukaryota; Metazoa; Arthropoda; Insecta; Diptera; Asilidae. The record is from RNAcentral.